CGCACCUAAAAGCGUUUUCUUGCCAGCCCGUUAAAUGCUCUUGAAAAUCGUAGAUGUGUGCCAGAGCAAAGCUCAGUUGCAAGUGAUUCGGCCGAUCUUAAUGGCAGAUAUCCAUAUAGCUGACAACAAGU
Molecule: small nucleolar RNA, 131 nt
Filed under: Drosophila ficusphila
Lineage: Eukaryota; Metazoa; Arthropoda; Insecta; Diptera; Drosophilidae
Description: small nucleolar RNA psi28S-3316
Rfam family: Small nucleolar RNA psi28S-3316
About the family: psi28S-3316 is a member of the H/ACA class of snoRNA. This family is responsible for guiding the modification of uridine 3316 in Drosophila 28S rRNA to pseudouridine.
Source: RNAcentral